GGGUGCGAUCAUACCAGCAAUAAUGCACCGGAUCCCAUCAGAACUGCGAAGUUAUGCUUGCUUGGGCUAGAGGUGUACUAGGAUGGGUGACCUCCUGGCAAGUCCUCGUGUUGCACCCCUC
This 121-nucleotide ribosomal RNA is filed under the name Rosa chinensis. The record is from RNAcentral. Lineage: Eukaryota; Viridiplantae; Streptophyta; Magnoliopsida; Rosales; Rosaceae.